UGCUUUUCAGGGAACUUGCAUCCCGUUUGUGAUGACCUGCUGAGUCCUGAGGUUGCCAGGGCUGAGACGAACAGCUCAGAGAAAUCGCUGCCCACUUUGUACACGUAAGAAACCCGAACUUCCCAUAAUCUCCAGGACUCAAGGACAAGUGCGCGUCUCACCUGCUAUAGAGAAGCUACAGUUUAGAGCAGAACACCUAACAUAGAUCCUACACCUGGUCUUGCAGGUAUGAAGACCCAAGUCAUACUCUAAGUGUUCAAGAAGAGGGAGGGGACAAUGGCCAUUCCUACCCAAGGCUGCCUGCUAUUGUGACAAUAAUCUACUUGUAUGAACUUCAAUAAAAUAAAAUGGUUUAGAAGUCAUUUGAAAAAGAAGGAACUUGAAUGGAUAAACUGAUGCAUCCAGAAAGUGGGAUGAUUAUUUGGCACUAAAAGGAAAUGUACUACCAGCCAUGAAAAGACAUGGAGGACCCUUAAAUGCAGUAUCAACAAGUAAAAGAAGCCAAUCUGAAAAGGCUACAUAGUGUGUUGGAACUCUAUGACAUCCUGGAAAAGGUGAGACUGGAGACAGUAAAAUGAUCAGGAGUUGCCAGGGUUUAGGGAUGGAUAGGCAGAGCACGGGAUUGUCAGGGCAGUUCUGUGUGACGCUGUGAAGGUGGAUGCGUGUCAUUAUACAUUUGUUCAAACCCACAGAAGGCAGAACAGCAAGGUGAAUCCUAAAAGAACUAUGGAUUUUGGAUAACUGUCCUCGUGGGUUUGUUAACUGCACUGUUUUGGUAGGAUGGUGAUAGUGGGGAGGCAGGGGCGUACAGAAAAUCUCUACUUUCUACCCUGUCACUGGGAAUCUAAAAGUACUCAAAAAGUGUCUCUUAAAAAAGAACAGAGGGGCGGCUGGUUAGCUCAGUUGGUUAGAGCGUGAUGCUCAUAACACCAGGGCUGCCGGGUCGAUCCCAAUGGGCCAGUGUGAGCUGCACCCUCCACAACUAGACUGAAACAACUACUUGGCCUGGAGCUGAUGGGUCCUGGAAAAACACACUUAAAUAAAAGUUAAAAAAAAAAAAAAGACUAAAAUUUAAAUGGUUUUAAAAUGUGAGCCAGUUAAGAACAUAGUAUUUUAAGGAUACUCCUAGAUAAUACAGUGUUAAGUUUGGAAGUUUCUAAGACCUCAGUAACAUGCAGAAAACAAUUCACAUGCCAUUAAAUUCAUGAUUUUUUGAGAACAGAAUUCUGUCAGGACCUCUACUUGUCAAUCUUUCUCUGAGCAGUUACAUGCAGACCAUUCCAGUUUUGAUGUGUGGUAACCAUGGCACGUUCCCAUCAC
Molecule: long non-coding RNA, 1320 nt
Organism: Rhinolophus ferrumequinum (greater horseshoe bat)
Lineage: Eukaryota; Metazoa; Chordata; Mammalia; Chiroptera; Rhinolophidae
Exons: 3
Source: RefSeq, a predicted model, not a curated record